UUCUGUGAUGAGACAGGAAGUACCAUCUGAUGUGAUAACUGACGAUGGCAAAACCAGUUCCACUUCUUUCUGAGA
Molecule: small nucleolar RNA, 75 nt
Organism: Rhinichthys klamathensis goyatoka
Lineage: Eukaryota; Metazoa; Chordata; Actinopteri; Cypriniformes; Leuciscidae
Product: small nucleolar RNA SNORD49
Exons: 1
Source: RefSeq, a predicted model, not a curated record